Molecule: long non-coding RNA, 1020 nt
Filed under: Equus caballus (horse)
Lineage: Eukaryota; Metazoa; Chordata; Mammalia; Perissodactyla; Equidae
Description: lncRNA (ENSECAG00000044404.1)
Source: RNAcentral
GUAAAAGCCUUUUGUUAUUCCUGAGUUUAUGCUAAUAAGGUAGCUCCUGGUCAUUGCUCGGAUAGCUUCAGGGUGGGGACUGCCCACUAGAGAGACCAACCGCUCCAUUAGAGUUGGGACUUUGAGCCAACUUGACCUCGAGGGAGGGCAGAGUGGCUCGAGAUUCAAUCAAGUGAGUUCAGUCGCGUAGCCAAUGAUUUAAUGAAGCAUGCCUACAUAUUGAAACUUGAGUAAAAACUCUGGACCUCAAAGCUCAGUGGAGCUUCCAGCUUGGUGAACACGUUGAUGCGCUGGAGGGUGACUUGCCUUGAUUUCAUGAGGAGGAGACACAGAACCUCUGCCUUUGGGACCUUCCCAGAUCUCACCCUACAAGUCUCUUCAUUUGGCAGGUCCUCCAUACCUUUUAUGAUAAAACCGUAACGACAUGGAAGAAAAGAAGUUAAUCUUGUCAACUUGCUAUUUUCUUGUUUAACCUGAGGAGUCACUCAGGGGUCACAAGACUUUGUGAGCUUGUUUUGCAGAAGAAAAAGAAUGCCUUCAAGGAAGUUAUGAUCACCAGGUAACCAGUCCCCAGCUGCCAUUGACGCCCAGAAGUCUGAUUGCCCCAGGGGCUUAUCCAGAGUGAAACACGGAUUACCCCUUUGAUUAUCGGAAACUGCUCCUGCCAAGCCCCCUAGCUCUGUAAAGACCCCCUGCUUCCUUCUCUUGUAAAGGCGGAUUUGAGAAAACCUGUCCUUCCACCUUCUCAUUUUGGCCAGUUCGAAUAAAACUUCCUCCAUCUCCAAGCUCGUGUCUCAGUGAUGGGCUUAUCGUGCAUCAGCACACAGACUUGAGAUGAAGAGGUCCCCUAUCGCUCUCUGAGGUUCAGUCCCACCUGCCGUGAUUUGCGCUCUGUCAUUGGGCUUUUAGGUCUGCAUGGGACAACUCCUCCUUCACCCCAAGUCCUUGGUCUCUUUAGUUAAAAAGGCCCACAGUCAUGUAACACCCAUGAAGGCAGUGAAAAUAUUGCCAGAACCCCAG